This is a small RNA of Clostridium perfringens str. 13, 397 nucleotides long. It matches the Rfam family "VR-RNA". Lineage: Bacteria; Bacillati; Bacillota; Clostridia; Eubacteriales; Clostridiaceae. The record is from Rfam.
GUAAUAUUUCUUAAGUAAAUAUUUAUUUUUAUUAAGCAAGGGGUGAUUUUUUUGAAACAUACAAAAAGGAUUUUAACAAGUGCAAUUUUAAUUACAUUAAUAACUCUUUUUUCUCCCUUAAUACUUAAAAAUAGCAUAGCUUUAUAUAUUGAACAAAGAGUAUCUUAUUUUACAUCUUUAGAAGUUGUUUCAAAUAUUAUAAGUCCCAUACUUGCUUUAAUAUCAAUAUUUUCAAUUGCAUAUUCCAUAAUUGUAAUUAAAAAUAAAUAAUUACUUAUUAAUGAUUUUACUUUAAUUUAGUAAAAAACCUUACAUAAAAUUACCACCAUAACUAUUGAUCCUAGAAAUAGAACUGUCCACUCUAUUUUUAGGAUUUUUAUUUUUUUCUUCUUUAUGU